This 421-nucleotide ribosomal RNA is filed under the name uncultured archaeon. RNAcentral's name for it is "partial 16S ribosomal RNA". It matches the Rfam family "Archaeal small subunit ribosomal RNA", at positions 323 to 746 of the family's 1478-position model. The record is from RNAcentral.
CUACGGGUUGCUCCAGGCGAGAAAACUUUGCAAUGUGCGAAAGCACGACAAGGUUAAUCCGAGUGGUUUCUGCUAAAGGAACCUUUUGUCGGUCCUAGAAACACCGAUGAAUAAGGGGUGGGCAAGUUCUGGUGUCAGCCGCCGCGGUAAAACCAGCACCUCAAGUGGUAGGUUGAUUAUUGGGCCUAAAGCAUCCGUAGCCGGCUCUGUAAGUUUUCGGUUAAAUCUGUAUGCUCAACAUACAGGCUGCCGGGAAUACUGCAUAGCUAGGGAGUGGGAGAGGUAGACGGUACUCGGUAGGAAGGGGUAAAAUCCUUUGAUCUAUUGAUGACCACCUGUGGCGAAGGCGGUCUACCAGAACACGUCCGACGGUGAGGGAUGAAAGCUGGGGGAGCAAACCGGAUUAGAUACCCUAGUAGUC